This 526-nucleotide ribosomal RNA is filed under the name Oxyrrhis marina. Its description in RNAcentral is "partial Bacterial large subunit ribosomal RNA". It matches the Rfam family "Bacterial large subunit ribosomal RNA", at positions 1261 to 1890 of the family's 2925-position model. The record is from RNAcentral. Lineage: Eukaryota; Dinophyceae; Oxyrrhinales; Oxyrrhinaceae.
CUGCGAGGUGUGCUGGAGGUAUCGGAAGUGAGAAUGCUGACAUGAGUAGCGACAAAGAGUGUGAGAAACACUCUCGCCGAAAGUCCAAGGGUUCCUCAGCAAGGCUAAUCCGCUGAGGGUGAGCCGGCCCCUAAGGCAAGGCCGAAAGGCGUAGUCGAUGGGAACCUGGUUAAUAUUCCAGGGCCUGGUGGAUGUGACGGAUCACGUAAGUUGUUCUCUCUUAUCGGAUUGAGAGGGCUGCGAAGUGGUCCCAGGAAAUAACACCACCAAUAUAGACCGUACCCUAAACCAACACAGGUGGACAGGUAGAGUAUACCAAGGCGCUUGAGAGAACGAUGCUGAAGGAACUCGGCAAAUUGCUUGCGUAACUUCGGGAUAAGCAAGCCCCGUUAGAGGGCAACCUCUGGCGGGGGGCACAGACUAGGGGGUAGCGACUGUUUACUAAAAACAUAGGGCUCUGCGAAGUGGCUAACACGACGUAUAGGGUCUGACGCCUGCCCGGUGCCGGAAGGUUAAAAGGAGGGGU